UGAUGAUGGUGAGGGCAAUUUCUGAGGAUACUCUUAAAUUUCUCCUAUGCUUGUUAGAGAUUCUCUUCUUUUUUCUGUGUCAAACUCAGAAUCUCGCUUCUGAAUCA
Molecule: non-coding RNA, 107 nt
Organism: Capsicum annuum
Lineage: Eukaryota; Viridiplantae; Streptophyta; Magnoliopsida; Solanales; Solanaceae
Source: Rfam